Molecule: ribosomal RNA, 253 nt
Filed under: uncultured bacterium
Lineage: Bacteria
Description: partial 16S ribosomal RNA
Rfam family: Bacterial small subunit ribosomal RNA
Source: RNAcentral
CACGUAGGAGGCGAGCGUUGUCCGGGAUCAUUGGGCGUAAAGAGCGUGUAGGCGGCCCGGUAAGUCCGCUGUGAAAGUCGGGGGCUCAACCCUCGAAUGCCGGUGGAUACUGUCGGGCUAGAGUGCGGAAGAGGCGAGUGGAAUUCCUGGUGUAGCGGUGAAAUGCGCAGAUAUCAGGAGGAACACCGAUUGCGAAGGCAGCUCGCUGGGACGUAACUGACGCUGAGACGCGAAAGCGCGGGGAGCAAACAGG